Carica papaya (papaya) is the source of this 314-nucleotide non-coding RNA. The record is from RefSeq and is a predicted model, not a curated record. NCBI's taxonomy places the organism in Eukaryota, Viridiplantae, Streptophyta, Magnoliopsida, Brassicales, Caricaceae.
UCAAAUUGGGUUUGUUGGACUCCUUCUUGGGUCUCUUUCUCCCUUGGAGAAGCGGGAAAAAAGAAGCCUGAUAAUCUCCACGACUCCGAACAUUCUUUCAGACAGAGAAAGAUGGCGCCAGUGUUGCAGAGCUCACAGCCAUGGGUCGAAAAAUAUCGACCCAAGCAAGUCAAAGAUGUUGCUCACCAGGACGAGGUGGUCCGAGUUUUGACCAACACUCUUGAAACCGCUAAUUGCCCGCACAUGCUCUUUUAUGGUCCCCCAGGCACCGGGAAGACCACCACUGCACUUGCAAUCGCUCAUCAGCUAUAUGG